Molecule: ribosomal RNA, 468 nt
Filed under: uncultured bacterium
Lineage: Bacteria
Description: partial 16S ribosomal RNA
Rfam family: Bacterial small subunit ribosomal RNA
Source: RNAcentral
GACGAACGCUGGCGGCGUGCUUAACACAUGCAAGUCGAACGGAAAGGCCCUGCUUUUGUGGGGUGCUCGAGUGGCGAACGGGUGAGUAACACGUGAGUAACCUGCCCUUGACUUUGGGAUAACUUCAGGAAACUGGGGCUAAUACCGGAUAGGAGCUCCUGCUGCAGGGUGGGGGUUGGAAAGUUUCGGCGGUUGGGGAUGGACUCGCGGCUUAUCAGCUUGUUGGUGGGGUAGUGGCUUACCAAGGCUUUGACGGGUAGCCGGCCUGAGAGGGUGACCGGCCACAUUGGGACUGAGAUGCGGCCCAGACUCCUACGGGAGGCAGCGGUGGGGAAUAGUGCACAAUGGGCGGGAGCCUGAUGCAGCAACGCCGCGUGCGGGAUGACGGCCUUCGGGUUGUAAACCGCUUUCGCCUGUGACGAAGCGUGAGUGACGGUAAUGGGUAAAGAAGCACCGGCUAACUACGUG